RNAcentral lists this transfer RNA (74 nucleotides) under Rahnella aquatilis. RNAcentral's name for it is "tRNA-Met". It matches the Rfam family "tRNA". Rfam says of the family: Transfer RNA (tRNA) molecules are approximately 80 nucleotides in length. Their secondary structure includes four short double-helical elements and three loops (D, anti-codon, and T loops). Further hydrogen bonds mediate the characteristic L-shaped molecular structure. tRNAs have two regions of fundamental functional importance: the anti-codon, which is responsible for specific mRNA codon recognition, and the 3' end, to which the tRNAs corresponding amino acid is attached (by aminoacyl-tRNA synthetases). tRNAs cope with the degeneracy of the genetic code in two manners: having more than one tRNA (with a specific anti-codon) for a particular amino acid; and 'wobble' base-pairing, i.e. permitting non-standard base-pairing at the 3rd anti-codon position. The record is from RNAcentral. RNAcentral also lists the same sequence under 3 other names. Lineage: Bacteria; Pseudomonadati; Pseudomonadota; Gammaproteobacteria; Enterobacterales; Yersiniaceae.
GGCCCUUUAGCUCAGUUGGUUAGAGCACGCGACUCAUAAUCGCUUGGUCGCUGGUUCAAGUCCAGCAAGGGCCA